RNAcentral lists this ribosomal RNA (405 nucleotides) under uncultured Methanosaeta sp. RNAcentral's name for it is "bacterial SSU rRNA". It matches the Rfam family "Archaeal small subunit ribosomal RNA", at positions 935 to 1338 of the family's 1478-position model. Lineage: Archaea; Methanobacteriati; Methanobacteriota; Methanomicrobia; Methanotrichales; Methanotrichaceae. The record is from RNAcentral.
ACCGACAGCAAUAUGAAGGCCAGGCUGAAGACUUUGCCGGAUUAGCUGAGAGGUGGUGCAUGGCCGUCGUCAGUUCGUACUGUGAAGCAUCCUGUUAAGUCAGGCAACGAGCGAGACCCCACGCCCACAGUUGCCAGCGUACUCUCUGGAGUGACGGGUACACUGUGGGGACCGCCGCUGCUAAAGCGGAGGAAGGAAUGGGCAACGGUAGGUCAGUAUGCCCCGAAUAUCCCGGGCUACACGCGAGCUACAAUGGUUGGUACAAUGGGUAUCUACCCCGAAAGGGGACGGGAAUCUCCUAAAACCAAUCUUAGUUCGGAUUGAGGGCUGCAACUCGCCCUCAUGAAGCUGGAAUCCGUAGUAAUCGCGUUUCAACAGAACGCGGUGAAUACGUCCCUGCUCCUU